This 377-nucleotide ribosomal RNA is filed under the name uncultured eukaryote. Its description in RNAcentral is "partial 18S ribosomal RNA". It matches the Rfam family "Eukaryotic small subunit ribosomal RNA", at positions 592 to 976 of the family's 1831-position model. The record is from RNAcentral.
CAAUAGCGUAUAUUAAAGUUGUUGCAGUUAAAAAGCUCGUAGUUGGAUUUCGGGGCAGCCUGGCUGGUCCGCCGCAAGGCGAGUACUGGUCAGCCGCCCUUCCUCUCGAAAGCCCCGACUGCUCUUCGUUGCAGUGGUCGGGUAGUUCGGGACGUUUACUUUGAAAAAAUUAGAGUGUUCAAGGCAGGCCUACGCCUGAAUACAUUAGCAUGGAAUAAUGGAAGAGGACCUCGGUCCUAUUUUGUUGGUUUCCAGGGCCGAAGUAAUGAUUAAGAGGGACAGUUGGGGGCAUUCGUAUUUAAUUGUCAGAGGUGAAAUUCUCGGAUUUAUGAAAGACGAACAACUGCGAAAGCAUUUACCAAGGAUGUUUUCAUUAA